This 615-nucleotide ribosomal RNA is filed under the name uncultured Acidovorax sp. Its description in RNAcentral is "bacterial SSU rRNA". It matches the Rfam family "Bacterial small subunit ribosomal RNA", at positions 28 to 640 of the family's 1533-position model. The record is from RNAcentral. Lineage: Bacteria; Pseudomonadati; Pseudomonadota; Betaproteobacteria; Burkholderiales; Comamonadaceae.
AUUGAACGCUGGCGGCAUGCCUUACACAUGCAAGUCGAACGGUAACAGGUCUUCGGAUGCUGACGAGUGGCGAACGGGUGAGUAAUACAUCGGAACGUGCCCGAUCGUGGGGGAUAACGGAGCGAAAGCUUUGCUAAUACCGCAUACGAUCUACGGAUGAAAGCAGGGGACCGCAAGGCCUUGCGCGGACGGAGCGGCUGAUGGCAGAUUAGGUAGUUGGUGGGAUAAAAGCUUACCAAGCCGACGAUCUGUAGCUGGUCUGAGAGGACGACCAGCCACACUGGGACUGAGACACGGCCCAGACUCCUACGGGAGGCAGCAGUGGGGAAUUUUGGACAAUGGGCGAAAGCCUGAUCCAGCCAUGCCGCGUGCAGGAUGAAGGCCUUCGGGUUGUAAACUGCUUUUGUACGGAACGAAAAGACUCCUUCUAAUAAAGGGGGUCCAUGACGGUACCGUAAGAAUAAGCACCGGCUAACUACGUGCCAGCAGCCGCGGUAAUACGUAGGGUGCAAGCGUUAAUCGGAAUUACUGGGCGUAAAGCGUGCGCAGGCGGUUAUAUAAGACAGAUGUGAAAUCCCCGGGCUCAACCUGGGAACUGCAUUUGUGACUGUAUAG